GAUGAACGCUAGCGGCAGGCCUAACACAUGCAAGUCGAGGGAGAAGCCCUUUCGGGGGCAGAAACCGGCGCACGGGUGCGUAACGCGUAUGCAACCUACCUUUCACAGGGGGAUAGCCCGAAGAAAUUUGGAUUAAUACCCCAUAAUAUUAUUGGAUGGCAUCAUUUGAUAAUUAAAACUGCGGUGGUGAAAGAUGGGCAUGCGUCCUAUUAGCUAGUUGGAGUGGUAACGGCACCCCAAGGCUACGAUAGGUAGGGGUCCUGAGAGGGAGAUCCCCCACACUGGUACUGAGACAGGGACCAGACUCCUACGGGAGGCAGCAGUGAGGAAUAUUGGUCAAUGGUCGGAAGACUGAACCAGCCAUGCCGCGUGCAGGAAGAAUGCCUUAUGGGUUGUAAACUGCUUUUAUAUGGGAAGAAUAAGGCGUACGUGUACGUUGAUGACGGUACCGUAUGAAUAAGCAUCGGCUAACUCCGUG
This 478-nucleotide ribosomal RNA is filed under the name uncultured bacterium. Its description in RNAcentral is "partial 16S ribosomal RNA". It matches the Rfam family "Bacterial small subunit ribosomal RNA", at positions 28 to 507 of the family's 1533-position model. The record is from RNAcentral.